This 826-nucleotide long non-coding RNA is filed under the name Anser cygnoides (Swan goose). Its description in RNAcentral is "lncRNA (ENSACDG00005000735.1)". Lineage: Eukaryota; Metazoa; Chordata; Aves; Anseriformes; Anatidae. The record is from RNAcentral.
AAAGCAAAGAAUAUGGAGUAAUUGCCUUACACAAAGCCCCCGAGUGCAAGCAGUCCAGCUGGCGUUCAGAGACUGGGGCACCUUGGGGUGCUGCCUCGGGGAGGGGUGUCAGGGGGCUGCUGGGCCACUGCCCAGCAGCCAGAGGUUGAGCUACAGUCAGAGUUGCCAGCUGCCCUUAAUAUGGAGGUUAAUCAAUUAAUAAUUAAUAAAAGUCAAUUAAUAAUUGAGUAAUUAAUUCACCUGGAGGGGGCUGCCCUCUGCUACAGGGUGGGGAGGGAUCGCAGCUCGCACCGCAGUGCAGGCAGACAUGGUACAAGUCCGUCAUCCCCCAGCACAGGGCAGGGUGGCUUGUAUAGGAACCUGGGAUUUUUGUGGUUGCAGUUAGACAUAAUUGCUGUUUCCACUUGCAAAGCAACGAGUCUUGUGUGCUGAGUAGAUGUUUUGUGCUGCUCACCGGCGCUCCGAUCGUGAUGCAAAUCUCCCUGGCUCCUGGGUUGCAAGGAAGAAAAGAUUUCUUUGUUUUGAACUGAAUGGUUUCCCAUGAAUGGGAAACCCAGACAGCGUGGUGCUCCAGAUUACUUUAAUGUGUUUUUCCUGGAACGAGGAUGCACCAGCAGUUCAUACUCUGCAGGUAUGGCUGCAACACCUGAUGGGGUGAUAACUGCAAUCAGGUUUCACGAUCACAGGAUGGUUAAGGUUGGCAGGGACCUCUGGGUGCUCCGGUGCCUCCCCAGCCCCAGCAGGGCCCCCGAGCAGGGUGCCCAGCCCCACGGCCAGGCGGCUGCUGGAGAUGUCCCCGAGGAGCCCCCAGCCCCUCUGGGCAGCC